UAUAUUACAGUUUUUGUGCUGUUCUACCUUAAGGGGAGCAAAUUCAAAGCUUUCCAGCUUGACUCGUACUUGUUCUUCCCUGAGAGCUCCGUCUCUUGCACGUCGAGUGCUUCCAUCCCCAAGUGCUUCUCUGUGCAGAGCAUUCCAGCACUGCACUGAUGUUUGUGUCCAAUAGCUUAACCUGCUUCUUCCACACACUCCAGACAGCCAGAUGGCUCCAUAAUGUGCAUCAAUAUUCCAGCAUAAAACUCACUUCAGUGCUGCUCUACAGCUCUGCACGGGCCCCUCCCGCAGCCGGCUGUUCACAAUGGCCAUUGUUACUGCAGAGCUAAACGCUGCCCUGGAACGUGUUCCAUGAAGGUGCUUACAGCUUUCUUCUUGGAGAGACAGUAAAACGUCAGGCUGUUUUCCUCUUCUUUUUGUGUAUGAGAAAACAGUUUAGUAACCUUUUUCCUUAACUGAAAUCCUGCUCCAAAAGUCCCUUAUUCUGCCAGGAGUUCUGCUGGGAUGGUUCUGGUGCUCCGAUUUCAUGAAAGCUGAAUUCCUCUGAAUCCAUGUGCCUAAGAAAAUGACAAGAUACAUCCAAAAAAUUGGAACCUGGCACUGGAAAAUAUUUAGGGACCUUCCUGUGACCAUAGCUAAUGACUUCUGAUAUGUUCCCUGAUGGAAUAAAGAAGCAGAAUUGAAUGCAUUGUAA
Molecule: long non-coding RNA, 697 nt
Organism: Cyanistes caeruleus (blue tit)
Lineage: Eukaryota; Metazoa; Chordata; Aves; Passeriformes; Paridae
Source: RefSeq, a predicted model, not a curated record